UUCCUGGUGGCUCAGAGGGUAAAGCAUCUGCCUACAAUGCAGGAGACCUGGGUUUGAUCCCUGGGCUGGGAA
Molecule: transfer RNA, 72 nt
Filed under: Ovis aries (sheep)
Lineage: Eukaryota; Metazoa; Chordata; Mammalia; Artiodactyla; Bovidae
Rfam family: tRNA
About the family: Transfer RNA (tRNA) molecules are approximately 80 nucleotides in length. Their secondary structure includes four short double-helical elements and three loops (D, anti-codon, and T loops).
Source: Rfam by way of RNAcentral